Molecule: ribosomal RNA, 497 nt
Filed under: uncultured bacterium
Lineage: Bacteria
Description: partial 16S ribosomal RNA
Rfam family: Bacterial small subunit ribosomal RNA
Source: RNAcentral
GAUGAACGCUGGCGGCGUGCCUAAUACAUGCAAGUCGAGCGAACAGAUGAGGAGCUUGCUCCUCUGACGUUAGCGGCGGACGGGUGAGUAACACGUGGAUAACCUACCUAUAAGACUGGGAUAACUUCGGGAAACCGGAGCUAAUACCGGAUAAUAUAUUGAACCGCAUGGUUCAAUAGUGAAAGACGGUUUUGCUGUCACUUAUAGAUGGAUCCGCGCCGCAUUAGCUAGUUGGUAAGGUAACGGCUUACCAAGGCAACGAUGCGUAGCCGACCUGAGAGGGUGAUAGGCAACACUGGAACUGAGACACGGUCAAGACUACUACGGGAGGCAGCAGUAGGGAAUCUUCCGCAAUGGGCGAAAGCCUGACGGAGCAACGCCGCGUGAGUGAUGAAGGUAUUCGGAUCGUAAAACUCUGUUAUUAGGGAAGAACAAAUGUGUAAGUAACUAUGCACGUCUUGACGGUAACUAGUCAGAAAGCCACGGCUAACUACGUG